This 110-nucleotide ribosomal RNA is filed under the name Pezizales sp. RNAcentral's name for it is "partial small subunit ribosomal RNA". It matches the Rfam family "Eukaryotic small subunit ribosomal RNA", at positions 1352 to 1484 of the family's 1831-position model. Lineage: Eukaryota; Fungi; Ascomycota; Pezizomycetes; Pezizales. The record is from RNAcentral.
UAAAUAGCCCGGCCCGCUUUUGCGGGUCGCUGGCUUCUUAGAGGGACUAUCGGCUCAAGCCGAUGGAAGUUUGAGGCAAUAACAGGUCUGUGAUGCCCUUAGAUGUUCUG